Molecule: ribosomal RNA, 278 nt
Filed under: uncultured bacterium
Lineage: Bacteria
Description: partial 16S ribosomal RNA
Rfam family: Bacterial small subunit ribosomal RNA
Source: RNAcentral
UGCCAGCCGCCGCGGUAAUACGGAGGGUGCAGGCGUUAAUCGGAAUUACUGGGCGUAAAGCGCGCGUAGGCGGUGGGCUAAGUCAGAUGUGAAAGCCCCGGGCUCAACCUGGGAACUGCACCUGAUACUGCCAGUCUAGAAUACGGUAGAGGGUAGUGGAAUUUCCUGUGUAGCGGUGAAAUGCGUAGAUAUAGGAAGGAACAUCAGUGGCGAAGGCGACUACCUGGACUGAUAUUGACGCUGAGGUGCGAAGCGUGGGGAGCAAACAGGAUUAGAUA